This 470-nucleotide ribosomal RNA is filed under the name Dialister invisus. RNAcentral's name for it is "bacterial SSU rRNA". It matches the Rfam family "Bacterial small subunit ribosomal RNA", at positions 28 to 478 of the family's 1533-position model. The record is from RNAcentral. Lineage: Bacteria; Bacillati; Bacillota; Negativicutes; Veillonellales; Veillonellaceae.
GACGAACGCUGGCGGCGUGCUUAACACAUGCAAGUCGAACGAAAAGACGGGAAGAGCUUGCUCUUUUCGGAAUUGAGUGGCAAACGGGUGAGUAACACGUAAACAACCUGCCUUCAGGAUGGGGACAACAGACGGAAACGACUGCUAAUACCGAAUAAGUUCCAAGAGCCGCAUGGCCCAUGGAAGAAAAGGUGGCCUCUACCUGUAAGCUAUCGCCUGAAGAGGGGUUUGCGUCUGAUUAGCUGGUUGGAGGGGUAACGGCCCACCAAGGCGACGAUCAGUAGCCGGUCUGAGAGGAUGAACGGCCACACUGGAACUGAGACACGGUCCAGACUCCUACGGGAGGCAGCAGUGGGGAAUCUUCCGCAAUGGGCGAAAGCCUGACGGAGCAACGCCGCGUGAGUGAUGACGGCCUUCGGGUUGUAAAACUCUGUGAUCCGGGACGAAAAGGCAGAGUGCGAAGAACAAAC